Molecule: ribosomal RNA, 461 nt
Filed under: uncultured bacterium
Lineage: Bacteria
Description: bacterial SSU rRNA
Rfam family: Bacterial small subunit ribosomal RNA
Source: RNAcentral
AUUGAACGCUGGCGGCAUGCUUUACACAUGCAAGUCGAACGGCAGCACGGGUGCUUGCACCUGGUGGCGAGUGGCGGACGGGUGAGUAAUACAUCGGAACGUGUCCAGAAGAGGGGGAUAACGCAUCGAAAGAUGUGCUAAUACCGCAUAUGCUCUGAGGAGGAAAGUGGGGGAUCGAAAGACCUUACGCUUUUGGAGCGGCCGAUGUCUGAUUAGCUAGUUGGUGGGGUAAGGGCCUACCAAGGCGACGAUCAGUAGUUGGUCUGAGAGGACGACCAGCCACACUGGGACUGAGACACGGCCCAGACUCCUACGGGAGGCAGCAGUGGGGAAUUUUGGACAAUGGGCGCAAGCCUGAUCCAGCCAUGCCGCGUGAGUGAUGACGGCCUUAGGGUUGUAAAGCUCUUUCACCGGUGAAGAUAAUGACGGUAACCGGAGAAGAAGCCCCGGCUAACUUCGUG